GCCAUACUUGCCCUCAUGGCAUCAGGCUGGUACUAGUGCACAUCUGCAGGGGAAAAGAUGAUAAUUUAUUUUGGCUGGUGCUUAUACAAAUUUUGUUAGACUCCACACGAACUCUUAGAACUAAUUUCAAAGCUUUUCUGAUGAUGUUAGUGAUGACCUCAGACUAUGCUGACAUGGCACCUCUAUGUAUCUCACCUCAUGGAUAAUUCAUUAAAAUAAAGUAGGUUAAGCCACUGACUGGCCAAACAGGCUCCUACUUCAUCUCAGAAACCAGUAAGAAACUUCUCUGUGUUGUAGUUCCUGGCUUUCUUUCCAAGUCAGCUCCACACUCAUUUAAUUAGAAAAGAGAAGCUGAUGUGCUGACUGAUGAUGGGGGCAGGAGAAGUGUUACCAAAGUGAAAGAGGGCAGAGAAAAGGGGAUUUUUUUUUGUUUUGUUUUUUUUAAAAAGUCUCCUUUUUCUUCUCAGCAUUUUGUCUAUCUGUCUUGGGCUCCAGAAUUUCCUGAGCCUUUUCUGGUUAUCCCCACUGACAGAAAGGGAAAAAUGGGCUGAGUUCUGGCAUUCUUAGCCCUUCAAAGCAAAGCUGUUGAAGAGUGUUACAAGGAAUGAGAGACCCAGCUGAGCUCUCUGUGCUCACCCACAGCUUGAACAGCAGAAACACUCUAAAUCAGGCAUUUCAAGUUUAGAUGCAGGCUGUGCAGCUGCUGUUUUAUCUCUGCAGUGGGAAGGCCCGGGCCAGUGGCUGAAUUCAUUUGCAUAUUAAGUCCCAUGUACUCCAGGAAAAAAAACCAACAGGAGUGUGUGCUGUUACCCUGGGGACUGCUCUGAACUCUUACAGUUCUACAGUAUGUGAAACACAUGUUAUUGUAAGCAUUGAUGAGACUGAAGAAAUAACAAGGCUCUACAGCACAGAAACCUGUGUUAAUAGUUUGCAGGUUAAAUAUAUAAAGGGAUGACUUGGCUAUGGGAACUUUCCCCUUCUUCAGACAGUAUCUGGUAAGGUUGUUA
This 1007-nucleotide long non-coding RNA is filed under the name Parus major (Great Tit). RNAcentral describes it as "lncRNA (ENSPMJG00000019273.1)". The record is from RNAcentral. Lineage: Eukaryota; Metazoa; Chordata; Aves; Passeriformes; Paridae.